Long non-coding RNA from Marmota flaviventris (yellow-bellied marmot), 225 nucleotides. RefSeq lists it as uncharacterized. NCBI's taxonomy places the organism in Eukaryota, Metazoa, Chordata, Mammalia, Rodentia, Sciuridae. The record is from RefSeq and is a predicted model, not a curated record.
GAGAGGAGAGGAAGCUGGAGCUGCAUACACUUGGAGCCAACUAGUGUAAUUGGGAACCACAGAAGAGAUCUGAACCAAGCAGUGACAAGAUGUGACCUCCUUCCAGCUUCUGUGAAGAGAACAGACUGAAGGAAAAAGAGCAUCAGGAGGCUACAGCAGAGAUCCAGGCACAAAGGCUGUGGACAAAACUCAUCUUGCUACCUGUCCUGGAGGAGCUCCCAGCAU